CAAAUUAAAUCUAAAUUUUAGAAUUUCAUUUACAUUGAAUUUUUAGUUGUUAAAUUCAACUUAAUUUGA
RNAcentral lists this transfer RNA (69 nucleotides) under Neucentropus mandjuricus. RNAcentral describes it as "tRNA-Val". The record is from RNAcentral. Lineage: Eukaryota; Metazoa; Arthropoda; Insecta; Trichoptera; Polycentropodidae.